GACGAACGCUGGCGGCGUGCCUAAUACAUGCAAGUUGAGCGCUGAAGGUUGGUACUUGUACCGACUGGAUGAGCAGCGAACGGGUGAGUAACGCGUGGGGAAUCUGCCUUUGAGCGGGGGACAACAUUUGGAAACGAAUGCUAAUACCGCAUAAAAACUUUAAACACAAGUUUUAAGUUUGAAAGAUGCAAUUGCAUCACUCAAAGAUGAUCCCGCGUUGUAUUAGCUAGUUGGUGAGGUAAAGGCUCACCAAGGCGAUGAUACAUAGCCGACCUGAGAGGGUGAUCGGCCACAUUGGGACUGAGACACGGCCCAAACUCCUACGGGAGGCAGCAGUAGGGAAUCUUCGGCAAUGGACGAAAGUCUGACCGAGCAACGCCGCGUGAGUGAAGAAGGUUUUCGGAUCGUAAAACUCUGUUGGUAGAGAAGAACGUUGGUGAGAGUGGAAAGCUCAUCAAGUGACGGUAACUACCCAGAAAGGGACGGCUAACUACGUGCCAGCAGCCGCGGUAAUACGUAGGUCCCGAGCGUUGUCCGGAUUUAUUGGGCGUAAAGCGAGCGCAGGUGGUUUAUUAAGUCUGGUGUAAAAGGCAGUGGCUCAACCAUUGUAUGCAUUGGAAACUGGUAGACUUGAGUGCAGGAGAGGAGAGUGGAAUUCCAUGUGUAGCGGUGAAAUGCGUAGAUAUAUGGAGGAACACCGGUGGCGAAAGCGGCUCUCUGGCCUGUAACUGACACUGAGGCUCGAAAGCGUGGGGAGCAGACAGGAUUAGAUACCCUGGUAGUCCACGCCGUAAACGAUGAGUGCUAGAUGUAGGGAGCUAUAAGUUCUCUGUAUCGCAGCUAACGCAAUAAGCACUCCGCCUGGGGAGUACGACCGCAAGGUUGAAACUCAAAGGAAUUGACGGGGGCCCGCACAAGCGGUGGAGCAUGUGGUUUAAUUCGAAGCAACGCGAAGAACCUUACCAGGUCUUGACAUACUCGUGCUAUUCCUAGAGAUAGGAAGUUCCUUCGGGACACGGGAUACAGGUGGUGCAUGGUUGUCGUCAGCUCGUGUCGUGAGAUGUUGGGUUAAGUCCCGCAACGAGCGCAACCCCUAUUGUUAGUUGCCAUCAUUAAGUUGGGCACUCUAACGAGACUGCCGGUGAUAAACCGGAGGAAGGUGGGGAUGACGUCAAAUCAUCAUGCCCCUUAUGACCUGGGCUACACACGUGCUACAAUGGAUGGUACAACGAGUCGCGAGACAGUGAUGUUUAGCUAAUCUCUUAAAACCAUUCUCAGUUCGGAUUGUAGGCUGCAACUCGCCUACAUGAAGUCGGAAUCGCUAGUAAUCGCGGAUCAGCACGCCGCGGUGAAUACGUUCCCGGGCCU
RNAcentral lists this ribosomal RNA (1368 nucleotides) under uncultured bacterium. Its description in RNAcentral is "bacterial SSU rRNA". It matches the Rfam family "Bacterial small subunit ribosomal RNA", at positions 28 to 1381 of the family's 1533-position model. The record is from RNAcentral.